RNAcentral lists this ribosomal RNA (427 nucleotides) under Actinomycetes bacterium. Its description in RNAcentral is "Actinobacteria bacterium partial 16S ribosomal RNA". It matches the Rfam family "Bacterial small subunit ribosomal RNA", at positions 355 to 776 of the family's 1533-position model. Lineage: Bacteria; Bacillati; Actinomycetota; Actinomycetes. The record is from RNAcentral.
UAGGGAAUCUUCCGCAAUGGGCGAAAGCCUGACGGAGCAACGCCGCGUGAGUGAUGAAGGUCUUCGGAUCGUAAAACUCUGUUAUUAGGGAAGAACAAAUGUGUAAGUAACUAUGCACGUCUUGACGGUACCUAAUCAGAAAGCCACGGCUAACUACGUGCCAGCAGCCGCGGUAAUACGUAGGUGGCAAGCGUUAUCCGGGAUUAUUGGGCGUAAAGCGCGCGUAGGCGGUUUUUUAAGUCUGAUGAAAGCCCACGGCUCAACCGUGGAGGGUCAUUGGAAACUGGAAAACUUGAGUGCAGAGGAGGAAAGUGGAAUUCCACGGGUAGCGGUGAAAUGCGCAGAGAUAUGGAGGAACACCAGUGGCGAAGGCGACUUUCUGGUCUGUAACUGACGCUGAUGUGCGAAAGCGUGGGGAUCAAACAGG